This 205-nucleotide ribosomal RNA is filed under the name uncultured Chlamydiales bacterium. Its description in RNAcentral is "partial 16S ribosomal RNA". It matches the Rfam family "Bacterial small subunit ribosomal RNA", at positions 307 to 503 of the family's 1533-position model. Lineage: Bacteria; Pseudomonadati; Chlamydiota; Chlamydiia; Chlamydiales. The record is from RNAcentral.
CCAACACUGGGGACUGAGACACUGCCCAGACUCCUACGGGAGGCUGCAGUCGAGAAUCUUUCGCAAUGGGCGCAAGCCUGACGAAGCGACGCCGUGUGAGCGAAGAAGGCCUUCGGGUUGUAAAGCUCUUUCGCUAGGGAACAAGAGAGACGGGAUAAUACCCGAGUAGAUUUGAGGGUACUUGGAAAAGAGCACCGGCUAACUC